Molecule: ribosomal RNA, 232 nt
Filed under: uncultured bacterium
Lineage: Bacteria
Description: partial 16S ribosomal RNA
Rfam family: Bacterial small subunit ribosomal RNA
Source: RNAcentral
CGGACGGGUGAGUAAUGUCUGGGAAACUGCCCGAUGGAGGGGGAUAACUACUGGAAACGGUAGCUAAUACCGCAUAACGUCGCAAGACCAAAGAGGGGGACCUUCGGGCCUCUUGCCAUCGGAUGUGCCCAGAUGGGAUUAGCUAGUAGGUGGGGUAACGGCUCACCUAGGCGACGAUCCCUAGCUGGUCUGAGAGGAUGACCAGCCAUACUGGAACUGAGACACGGUCCAG